AUAAAUAUGAUUUUAUACAUAAUUCUUGUUUGGUACAUAAAGGUACUAAAUUGCAAGUUGCAACUAAGGAGAUUCUAAUUUGUACAAGCUCCAAGUAACUUUGAGCUAACACAAAUCAUAGAUCAACAAGUUUGUAUGUUACGGUAUUGGUUUUCACAUAUGGAGAAUAAGUUAUCAGUUUUAAAUUUGUUUCUACUAUCCAUGUGUGGAAUCAGAGCUAGCCAAACAUUAAAAACUGAAAAACUCAGGUUGUAGUAAGCAAUCCUCCACCGCAUAAUCAUGAUUUAUGUGUCAAUUCACUUAUUUCGUACAGUUCUCUAAACACAAAUCCAUGCCGGUCUGCUGAUUUUUGAGUUCCGAUAGACCAAAACUAAUUGGUGAACAUAAAAUGGCUUCAGAUGCUAUAGAGGAGGCUAACUGUGUUGGGUGGUACAUGUCCCAGAACAAUUAAUUCCGACGGUCAAGGCAGCAUAGCGCUGUUGAAUUACAAGAGCCUUGUGCUUUUCAGCUUUCCAUAUCCGCAGCAUGUUUAUUCAACAUCAUGAAAUUAUGCAACAAUUCUAAGAAACCAAAAGAGUAGUAGUACGGCUACAGCCAUAGCCAAUUCCUUUUCUUGUAAUGUGUGCAUGCAUUCAGUUUUUUUUAUUAGACUAUAGUUUGGUGUUGCUAAUUUCUUACCUUAGGAUUUUGCAGUAUUGAUGGCAUUAUAAGUCAUUUGGUAUAUAUAUGUUUCCAAGAGAGAGAGUACUUCAUUCCUGGAAGCUGGGUGCUGAUAUUAAGCAUAAGGGUGUUGAGUGCUGAGUGGAACGCCUGAACAAGAUCGUUCAUGGAGGAUCGCAACCAGUGGUCCUGUUCUUGUUGAAUUGGACCAGUUUUGAAUGCGGACAUCAACCCACCAGUUGAACAUUUAUGACGGAGAAUCGCCUUGCUCCCAGUUUAUACCACAUCUACAAGGUAUGAUGAUAAGCAUAUAAGAUAGGAAGCCCUAACUUAACCCAAAACCAUGGUCAAAGGUAAAGGGUUGACUCCCUAUUAUAUGCUAUUCCACACUUUCGUGUGAAACCGAUGUGGGAUCGUAUCAUAUGAUAACAGAUCAUAUUGAUCUUAUUGGGAAGUGAUUUUACCAAAGAAAUUAUUUAAUGGGAAGAAAGACUGGUCAUACUGUGAUGUGCCUGUAAUAUGAUGAUAUAAGAAGGGAAAACACGUCUCCUGUUCCAUAUUCGCUGGGUGAGUAUCAUUGCUCCCGAUACUGAUGAAGAACACAGACAUAUUGAGCAUUGCUUCAGUUUAAAGCGCUACUAUCAUAGCAGCGAAAUUACUGCACAGUGAAGUGAACUGAUUUAUCUGUUCUGAAAUGGCACAAUAGUCUGUUGACAGUGCAACAUAACGCAAGCAGAGAAUGCAAGAAAAACUAUAGGCCUUGGCAUGUCAUCAACCAGUUGAGGGACGAAUUUGGUGUAGAUGGUGAGCAGACGCUCACAGAAAGGAAUGUGUUGCCAUAGCAAAGAUCACAGGCAAUCAAUGAAUGAGCAUGUGGUGGUUAUGCUGUGAUUGAUGCAAGCACGAUGAUGAGCAGCGGCUUCUGGCAAGGGACUCAAGCAAAUCUCCAGCGCGGCCUUUGCGGAUGAGGCAGAUGGUGUAGUCCAUGAAGACCGAAUCACAAGGUAACACAAUAGGGCCGUUACAGGGCAGGCCGUACUCCUCUUCAGACAUCUCAAGCAGAUGCCGGAACACAGGGUCAUUGAGAUAGGCCAAUGGAACCACAAAGCGCCUCUGGUCAGCAGUGUAGACUGCAAAGUGGCCCUUGUCCAUGUAUGACGAUGGCGCAACACAGCAGACGUCGCCGUUUCUUGGGUGCAAGACUCUCCUGCGGCGUGUAGCAGCGAGCUUGUGCCACUGGUGGAUCAUCUUGGAGAGGUUCUUGGCAGUAAUCAUGGUAGAUGGCGUGAGUUUUGGAAGUUGGAUUAUGGUGCAGAUGAAGUGGGAUUUUUAUACGAGGGAAGGUGGAGACAGAGUUUCAGUUGAUGCCUAAAAUCAAGGGCUUCAGAGGCAUGUGGCGUCGGUUUACAUGGGACCUGGAUUAGAUAGAAACGUCUAAUGCCAAUGUAUUUAGGUAAAAUGUGCACAGUAAGUUCCUACCUUCCAAUUUGCUAAUUUUCUUCAGACACAA
This is a non-coding RNA of Salvia hispanica, 2170 nucleotides long. The record is from RefSeq and is a predicted model, not a curated record. Lineage: Eukaryota; Viridiplantae; Streptophyta; Magnoliopsida; Lamiales; Lamiaceae.